CCACACUUCCCUGUCUCUCCCCUAUGUGCUAUUUAACAUAUACUCUCUUAAUAAUGCACCGAGUGUACUGCCUGUUACCGUGCCUAAGCACAUUCGAUAUCAUAUAUAUAUAUAUACAUAUAUACAUUUAUAUGCGUAUAUACAUAUAUAUAUAUAUAUAUACAUAUUUAAGCCUGUAAUACCGUUAUGUUGUUGUACCAUAUUAUUGUGAACACCAUUUCUCAGACAUCGAUUUUUUUAAAUAAAAAGAAAGUCUCUAUCUCGACAUGCACUAAAGCAGAGUAUCCGUCGGAACAAAGCGAAACAAAAAGGGGGAAAAAAAAAAGAAAGAAAGAAAGAAAA
Apis dorsata (giant honeybee) is the source of this 342-nucleotide long non-coding RNA. RefSeq lists it as uncharacterized. The record is from RefSeq and is a predicted model, not a curated record. The transcript has 2 exons. Lineage: Eukaryota; Metazoa; Arthropoda; Insecta; Hymenoptera; Apidae.